UAGGGAAUAUUGGUCAAUGGACGAGAGUCUGAACCAGCCAUGCCGCGUGCAGGAAGACUGCCCUCUGGGUUGUAAACUGCUUUUAUAUGGGAAGAAAAGACUCUUGCGAGAGGCAUUGACGGUACCAUAGGAAUAAGCCACGGCUAACUACGUGCCAGCAGCCGCGGUAAUACGUAGGUGGCGAGCGUUAUCCGGAUUUAUUGGGUUUAAAGGGUGCGUAGGCGGCUUUUUAAGUUGGUGGUUAAAGGUAGCAGCUCAACUGUUUUACAUGCCAUCAAAACUGAAGAGCUUGAGUUAUCAGGAGGCAGGCGGAAUUUCUGGUGUAGCGGUGAAAUGCAUAGAUACCAGAAGGAACACCUAUUGCGAAGGCAGCUUGCUGUAGAUACACUGACGCUGAUGCACGAAAGCGUGGGGAGCGAACAGGAUUAGAUACCCUGGUAGUCCACGCCGUAAACGAUGAUUACUAGUUGUUGGAGAUAUACAUUCAGUGACCAAGGGAAACCGAUAAGUAAUCCACCUGGGGAGUACGCCGGCAACGGUG
RNAcentral lists this ribosomal RNA (541 nucleotides) under uncultured bacterium. RNAcentral describes it as "bacterial SSU rRNA". It matches the Rfam family "Bacterial small subunit ribosomal RNA", at positions 355 to 896 of the family's 1533-position model. The record is from RNAcentral.